Molecule: long non-coding RNA, 1411 nt
Filed under: Macaca mulatta (Rhesus monkey)
Lineage: Eukaryota; Metazoa; Chordata; Mammalia; Primates; Cercopithecidae
Description: lncRNA (ENSMMUG00000057168.1)
Source: RNAcentral
GCAGCACAUGCGUGGGGAGUCAGUUCGUUUUUGCAAUUAAGGAUAAGUGGGAAAAAGACCUUCUAGCUUAAUAAGGAAUCUUGGAUAACAGAUGAAGACUGUGCUAACUGGACAUGACAACAUCAUAUAAAAAGCAAGACAUUCGGUCAGCUAGAGAAUCAACCUCUUGUCUAUGCAUGCUGGAGGCGGGGAAGGGCAAAUCACCCGAAGAUCCAGGUGGCCGGAAGACCCUGGGCAGAGCUCUGGCCCCGCCCUAGUGGCCGUCCUCCCACCUGCCCUGCUCCUGCUGGACCCUGUCCCUGAGCUGUUUCUCUUGGUUGUCAACAGCGCACACACAGAGCAGAGGACAGUGCUGCCUGGGGAUGGGCACGGCCCCUAUGCCACCUGCAGGUUCCCUUCCUCUGAGGCUCCCCACCCGUGGGUGGUCUCCCCUCCUCCUGAUUCACUAAGCCUUUGCCUGAUCACCUCCUAACACUGCCAGCAGCUCCCAAGCUGUAGACCCACAAUUCCCCCAAAGUUGGCUGUGGUACUGCUGGACUCCUUAGCCCUAGGAAUCCAUCCCUCACUGUCCAUGGCUGGCCCUUCACUACCCCCACCACGCUCUCCAGAGCUCCACAGUUCUUCCAGCCUGCCAGCCCUCCAACCUCUGCCUUCUGAGCUGCCCCCAACGCCUGGACCCCGGCCGACUAUGGUUUCUUAUUCAAGAAGUUCCUAUUCUUGUCCUAUGCCCAGAUGGCCCUCAAUCAAUGUUUGCCUGGGGAGUGAGCCAGAUGAGCACUAAUGACUCUGAAAUCUGUAUUGUUAUAUCUGACCUCUUUGGCUCUGUGAAAUUGAAGAAUUCAAACUUAAAGCUGUUGGACUUUUAAAUUGUUCUGAGCCUUGAGAGGAAUGUGGCUAUGCAGCCCGAGUCACACGGCUGCAACUUCUACCUUUUUUCCCCUUUAAAUAAUAAAGACCAAGACCAAGUAGCCCUCAAGUCACUGCCCCUCCUCAAGCAGCAGUCUGUAACCAAUCAAUUCCCGCACCCUGUAUGUUUGUCUUGUAUGGAAAAUGUUGUUCCUGCUAAGAUUUCCCUGCCUCUGUUUAGGUAAGUGAAACCUUAACUUCACUUUGGGACACUGACCUCAUUCGUUCGAAGUUGGGGUCUCCCGGGUGGCCAUCUGCAAGCUUUGUGUUCAAAUAAGCUAUAGUUAAUCAUAUUUUCUGAACCUCAUUAUUUGAGGUUGACAGCUUAUGUGCUAGUUGGCAUCGCUGGGAUGUGCCACGAGCAAGCAAGCCAGCCCCAACGCAUCCAAAAGUGAUAUCAUUGUCUUCUUCCUUAAUCGGUAUGAGUCCAGGGUCCCCAUCGCCCAACUGCCCACCCUGCAAAUCUGGAAUUGUAACUGCCUCUCUCCUGACUGAGUAAGAAUUG